Molecule: ribosomal RNA, 649 nt
Filed under: uncultured Gammaproteobacteria bacterium
Lineage: Bacteria; Pseudomonadati; Pseudomonadota; Gammaproteobacteria
Description: bacterial SSU rRNA
Rfam family: Bacterial small subunit ribosomal RNA
Source: RNAcentral
AGUCGAGCGGUAACAGGAGUAGCUUGCUACUCGCUGACGAGCGGCGGACGGGUGAGUAACGCGUAGGAAUCUGCCUAAUAGUUGGGGAUAGCCCGGGGAAACCCGGAUUAAUACCGAAUACGCUCUACGGAGGAAAGCAGGGGAUCUUCGGACCUUGCGCUAUUAGAUGAGCCUGCGUGAGAUUAGCUAGUUGGUGAGGUAAUGGCUCACCAAGGCGACGAUCUCUAGCUGGUCUGAGAGGAUGAUCAGCCACACUGGGACUGAGACACGGCCCAGACUCCUACGGGAGGCAGCAGUGGGGAACAUUGCACAAUGGGCGCAAGCCUGAUGCAGCCAUACCGCGUGUGUGAAGAAGGCCUUAGGGUUGUAAAGCACUUUCAGUUGUGAGGAAAGGGGUGUAGUUAAUACCUGCAUCCUGUGACGUUAGCAACAGAAGAAGCACCGGCUAACUCCGUGCCAGCAGCCGCGGUAAUACAGAGGGUGCGAGCGUUAAUCGGAAUUACUGGGCGUAAAGCGCGCGUAGGCGGUUUGUUAAGUCGGAUGUGAAAUCCCCGGGCUCAACCUGGGAAUUGCACCCGAUACUGGCAGGCUAGAGUACGGUAGAGGGGUGUGGAAUUUCCUGUGUAGCGGUGAAAUGCGUAGAUAUAGG